This 22-nucleotide non-coding RNA is filed under the name Rattus norvegicus (Norway rat). The record is from RNAcentral. Lineage: Eukaryota; Metazoa; Chordata; Mammalia; Rodentia; Muridae.
UUGUAAAAUGUCUCCUUACAUC